GUGCUCUCUUCGGCAGCACGUAUACUGAACUUGAACAUAUACAGAGAUUAGCAUGGCCCUUACCCAAGCAUGACAUGCAAAUUCUCAAAGCAUUUCAUAUUUUA
This is a small nuclear RNA of Cricetulus griseus (Chinese hamster), 104 nucleotides long. The record is from Ensembl. Lineage: Eukaryota; Metazoa; Chordata; Mammalia; Rodentia; Cricetidae.